Ictidomys tridecemlineatus (thirteen-lined ground squirrel) is the source of this 71-nucleotide non-coding RNA. The record is from Rfam. Lineage: Eukaryota; Metazoa; Chordata; Mammalia; Rodentia; Sciuridae.
GAGGUUGUGGCUCAGCGGUAGAGCGCUCGCCUAGCAUGCGCGAGGCCCUGGGUUUGAUCCUCAGCACCACA